This 1000-nucleotide ribosomal RNA is filed under the name uncultured bacterium. RNAcentral's name for it is "bacterial SSU rRNA". It matches the Rfam family "Bacterial small subunit ribosomal RNA", at positions 355 to 1375 of the family's 1533-position model. The record is from RNAcentral.
UCGAGAAUCUUGGGCAAUGCGCGAAAGCGUGACCCAGCAAUGCCGCGUGCAUGAUGAAGGCCCUCGGGUCGUAAAAUGCUGUCUCCCGUGACGAAUAAUGACGGUAGCGGGGAAGGAAGCCACGGCUAACUACGUGCCAGCAGCCGCGGUAAUACGUAGGUGGCAAGCGUUGUCCGGAAUUACUGGGUGUAAAGGGUGCGCAGGCGGGAUUGCAAGUUGGAUGUGAAAUACCGGGGCUUAACCCCGGAGCUGCAUCCAAAACUGUAGUUCUUGAGUGGAGUAGAGGUAAGCGGAAUUCCGAGUGUAGCGGUGAAAUGCGUAGAUAUUCGGAGGAACACCAGUGGCGAAGGCGGCUUACUGGGCUCUAACUGACGCUGAGGCACGAAAGCAUGGGUAGCAAACAGGAUUAGAUACCCUGGUAGUCCAUGCUGUAAACGAUGAAUGCUAGGUGUGGGGGGACUGACCCCUUCCGUGCCGGAGUAAACACAAUAAGCAUUCCACCUGGGGAGUACGACCGCAAGGUUGAAACUCAAAGGAAUUGACGGGGGCCCGCACAAGCAGUGGAGUAUGUGGUUUAAUUCGAAGCAACGCGAAGAACCUUACCAGGUCUUGACAUCCGGCUAACGAAGUAGAGAUACAUUAGGUGCCCUUCGGGGAAAGCCGAGACAGGUGGUGCAUGGUUGUCGUCAGCUCGUGUCGUGAGAUGUUGGGUUAAGUCCCGCAACGAGCGCAACCCCUGCCGAUAGUUGCUACGCAAGAGCACUCUAUCGGGACCGCUACCGACAAGGUGGAGGAAGGUGGGGACGACGUCAAAUCAUCAUGCCCCUUAUGACCUGGGCUACACACGUACUACAAUGGCCGUUAACAGAGGGAAGCAACACCGCGAGGUAGAGCAAAACCCUAAAAACGGUCCCAGUUCAGAUUGUAGGCUGCAACUCGCCUAUAUGAAGUUGGAAUUGCUAGUAAUCGCGGAUCAGCAUGCCGCGGUGAAUACGUUCCC